GGUUGCGAUCAUACCAGCACUAAUGCACCGGAUCCCAUCAGAACUCCGCAGUUAAGCGUGCUUGGGCGAGAGUAGUACUAGGAUGGGUGACCCCCUGGGAAGUCCUCGUGUUGCAACUCC
RNAcentral lists this ribosomal RNA (120 nucleotides) under Helianthus annuus (common sunflower). Lineage: Eukaryota; Viridiplantae; Streptophyta; Magnoliopsida; Asterales; Asteraceae. The record is from RNAcentral.